UGACCGAUAGCGAACCAGUACCGUGAGAGAAAGGUGAAAAGUACCCCGACAAGGGGAGUGAAAUAGUACCUGAAACCGAAUGCCUACAAACAGUCGGAGCCCAAGAUUCGUUCUGGGUGACGGCGUACCUUUUGUAUAAUGGGUCAGCGACUUAGUCUAACGAGCAAGCUUAAGCCGGUAGGUGUAGGCGUAGCGAAAGCGAGUCUGAAUAGGGCGUUCAGUUCGUUGGAUUAGACCCGAAACCGAGUGAUCUAGCCAUGAGCAGGCUGAAGGUAAGGUAACACUUACUGAAGGGCCGAACCCGUAUCUGUUGCAAUAGAUUGGGAUGACUUGUGGCUAGGGGUGAAAGGCCAAUCAAACUCGGAAAUAGCUGGUUCUCCGCGAAAUCUAUUUAGGUAGAGCGUUAGUCGAAUUCUCCAGGGGGUAGAGCACUGGAUGGGCUAGGGGUCCUCACCGGAUUACCAAACCUAACCAAACUCCGAAUACCUGGAAGAACUAACUAGCAGACACACGGCGGGUGCUAACGUCCGUCGUGGAGAGGGAAACAACCCUGACCACCAUCUAAGGUCCCCAAGUUAUGGCUAAGUGGGAAAGGAUGUGAGGAUCCCAAAACAACCAGGAUGUUGGCUUAGAAGCAGCCACCAUUUAAAGAAAGCGUAACAGCUCACUGGUCUAAAUAAGGGUCCCUGCGCCGAAAAUGUAACGGGGCUAAAGCCAUACACCGAAGCUGUGGAUUUACUCUUUAUUGAGUAAGUGUAAGUGGUAGCGGAGCGUUCCGUAAGCCUGUGAAGGGAGACUCGUGAGAGCUCCUGGAGGUAUCGGAAGUGAGAAUGCUGACAUGAGUAACGAUAAAGGGAGUGAGAGACUCCCUUGCCGAAAGUCCAAGGGUUCCUGCUUAAAGUUAAUCUGAGCAGGGUGAGUCGG
This 924-nucleotide ribosomal RNA is filed under the name Bartonella sp. J1-KG. RNAcentral describes it as "bacterial LSU rRNA". It matches the Rfam family "Bacterial large subunit ribosomal RNA", at positions 481 to 1387 of the family's 2925-position model. The record is from RNAcentral. Lineage: Bacteria; Pseudomonadati; Pseudomonadota; Alphaproteobacteria; Hyphomicrobiales; Bartonellaceae.